AUUGAACGCUGGCGGCAGGCCUAACACAUGCAAGUCGAGCGGAUGAAGGGAGCUUGCUCCUGGAUUCAGCGGCGGACGGGUGAGUAAUGCCUAGGAAUCUGCCUGGUAGUGGGGGAUAACGUCCUGAAACGGGCGCUAAUACCGCAUACGUCCUGAGGGAGAAAGUGGGUGAUCUUCGGACCUCACGCUAUCAGAUGAGCCUAGGUCGGAUUAGCUAGUUGGUGGGGUAAAGGCAUACCAAGGCGACGAUCCGUAACUGGUCUGAGAGGAUGAUCAGUCACACUGGAACUGAGACACGGUCCAGACUCCUACGGGAGGCAGCAGUGGGGAAUAUUGGACAAUGGGCGAAAGCCUGAUCCAGCCAUGCCGCGUGUGUGAAGAAGGUCUUCGGAUUGUAAAGCACUUUAAGUUGGGAGGAAGGGCAGUAAGUUAAUACCUUGCUGUUUUGACGUUACCAACAGAAUAAGCACCGGCUAACUUCGUG
RNAcentral lists this ribosomal RNA (484 nucleotides) under uncultured bacterium. RNAcentral describes it as "partial 16S ribosomal RNA". It matches the Rfam family "Bacterial small subunit ribosomal RNA", at positions 30 to 507 of the family's 1533-position model. The record is from RNAcentral.